CAGUCGCCACGGUAAUACGAAGGGUGCAAGCGUUAAUCGGAAUUACUGGGCGUAAAGCGCGCGUAGGUGGUUUGGUAAGAUGGAUGUGAAAUCCCCGGGCUCAACCUGGGAACUGCAUCCAUAACUGCCUGACUAGAGUACGGUAGAGGGUGGUGGAAUUUCCUGUGUAGCGGUGAAAUGCGUAGAUAUAGGAAGGAACACCAGUGGCGAAGGCGACCACCUGGACUGAUACUGACACUGAGGUGCGAAAGCGUGGGGAGCAAACAGGAUUAGAUACCCCCGUAGUCCCUGUCUCUUAUAU
Molecule: ribosomal RNA, 301 nt
Filed under: uncultured bacterium
Lineage: Bacteria
Description: partial 16S ribosomal RNA
Rfam family: Bacterial small subunit ribosomal RNA
Source: RNAcentral